RNAcentral lists this small RNA (379 nucleotides) under Arabidopsis thaliana (thale cress). RNAcentral's name for it is "ATSL037350". Lineage: Eukaryota; Viridiplantae; Streptophyta; Magnoliopsida; Brassicales; Brassicaceae. The record is from RNAcentral.
GCCGAUUGGCAAAGUGGACUGCCUGGUCGCCUCUGCGAUAGAGUAGAAUUGCAGAAUGGACUGCCUACUCUCCUCUCCGAUCGAGUAUAUCUAGCAGAAUGGACUGCCUGGUCUCCUCUGCGAUUGAGUAGAAGUGUCUGGAUGGACUGCUGAGCUGACUACUUCCCUCGCUGCUACUGGUUAUCGAGUAUGUUGGUGGAAGUGUGACUUUCUGUUCUGAUUUUCCUCUUUCUGAGCACCAAUAGCUCCAAAACACCUGAAAGAACUUCAGAAUGCAGAAUGUAUGCAAGACUACUGCUAGACUCGACUAAAGAUGCAAAAUGUACAAAAAUGAUGGUCAAUGCUAUGAAAGAUGGAUGAAACUAGACUCAAAAUGGUU